This 273-nucleotide ribosomal RNA is filed under the name uncultured bacterium. RNAcentral's name for it is "partial 16S ribosomal RNA". It matches the Rfam family "Bacterial small subunit ribosomal RNA", at positions 524 to 796 of the family's 1533-position model. The record is from RNAcentral.
UACGUAGGUGGCAAGCGUUGUCCGGAAUCAUUGGGCGUAAAGCGCGCGCAGGCGGUCCUUUAAGUCUGAUGUGAAAUCUUGCGGCUCAACCGUAAGCGGUCAUUGGAAACUGGGGGACUUGAGUGCAGGAGAGGAAAGCGGAAUUCCAUGUGUAGCGGUGAAAUGCGUAGAGAUAUGGAGGAACACCAGUGGCGAAGGCGGCUUUCUGGCCUGUAACUGACGCUGAGGCGCGAAAGCGUGGGGAGCAAACAGGAUUAGAAACCCCCGUAGUCC